AUUGAACGCUGGCGGCAUGCCUAACACAUGCAAGUCGAGCGAGCAGAGGACUGGUGAGCAAUGUAUGGGGACGUGGCUGAUGGAGGGGUAUAACUAGGGGAAACGGUAGCUACUACCGCAUACCAUCAGAUGAACCCAUAUGGGAUUAGCUUGCAGGUGUGGAAACGGCUCACCUAGGCGACGCUCCCUAGCUGGUCUGAGAGGAUGAUCAGCCACACUGGGACUGAGACACGGCCCAGACUCCUACGGGAGGCAGCAGUGGGGAAUAUUGCACAAUGGGCGCAAGCCUGAUGCAGCCAUGCCGCGUGUAUGAAGAAGGCCUUCGGGUUGUAAAGUACUUUCAGUCGGGAGGCGUUACCGACAGAAGAAGCACCGGCUAACUCCGUGCCAGCCGCCGCGGUAAUAC
RNAcentral lists this ribosomal RNA (406 nucleotides) under uncultured bacterium. RNAcentral describes it as "partial 16S ribosomal RNA". It matches the Rfam family "Bacterial small subunit ribosomal RNA", at positions 30 to 526 of the family's 1533-position model. The record is from RNAcentral.